This 407-nucleotide ribosomal RNA is filed under the name uncultured Glomeromycotina. RNAcentral describes it as "SSU rRNA". It matches the Rfam family "Eukaryotic small subunit ribosomal RNA", at positions 687 to 1092 of the family's 1831-position model. The record is from RNAcentral. Lineage: Eukaryota; Fungi; Glomeromycota.
UGUUGGUUUCUCCCUUCUGACGAACCAUGAUGUCAUUUAUUUGGUGUUGUGGGGAAUCAGGACUGUUACUUUGAAAAAAUUAGAGCGUUUAAAGCAGGCUCACGCUUGAAUACAUUAGCAUGGAAUAAUGAAAUAGGACGUUUGAUUCUAUUUUGUUGGUUUCUAGGAUCGACGUAAUGAUUAAUAGGGAUAGUUGGGGGCAUUAGUAUUCAAUUGUCAGAGGUGAAAUUCUUGGAUUUAUUGAAGACUAACUACUGCGAAAGCAUUUGCCAAGGAUGUUUUCAUUAAUCAAGAACGAAAGUUAGGGGAUCGAAGACGAUCAGAUACCGUCGUAGUCUUAACCAUAAACUAUGCCGACUAGGGAUCGGAUGAUGUUAAUUUUUUAAUGACUCAUUCGGCGCCUUACG